Non-coding RNA from Gasterosteus aculeatus aculeatus (three-spined stickleback), 657 nucleotides. Lineage: Eukaryota; Metazoa; Chordata; Actinopteri; Perciformes; Gasterosteidae. The record is from RefSeq and is a predicted model, not a curated record.
GCAACGAUAACCAGAACGAGCCACCGGAAGUGUGUUGACCGAUUAUUCACAUUCAGUUCAUAUUAAUUACUUUUAUUACAUUUUAUUAGUGUCACUAAUUCAUGCAUAAUUUUAAUAAUAAAUCUAAAAUAUAAAAACGGACUAAAGAAACGUCUGAUGUCAGCAGUUUAUUGCAGUUGGUGAAUGACAGAACGUGGUCACGUGUCGCCAUAGAAACGCACCAAUUUGACUGAGACGAACGGACGGGAGCAACUACCCCGCUAAUUACCCGACAUAAUUGUUAUAUUUAUAUUAUUAGUUCUGAUGUAUGUUUGUUUGCUGCCGUUUCAACAGUAACAUGUAUUCAUCCGAGUCUGACUCCGAAGUUCUGCCCGAAGAUAACGAGGAAGGAAAACUAUAUCAAUUGAUUUAUGAACUGACCACAGACGACAAGGACCAAAAUGAGGAGGUUCAAAUCCCGUCCAGCUCCAGGAAGUCGCCUGUGGACGUCCGCGCAGACGGGACGGUCGAAAACCUGACGGUUCCGUUCACAAAACGUCACACAACCACAGGCAGAAGCCAGAGAGACAACUCAUGGGUUAAUGACAGGACGAGGGGACACCACAUGCACACGUGGGUCACCAGAGGAGUCUCCGGCCAGCCCUGGGGGAGAGGCCC